RNAcentral lists this ribosomal RNA (497 nucleotides) under uncultured bacterium. RNAcentral's name for it is "partial 16S ribosomal RNA". It matches the Rfam family "Bacterial small subunit ribosomal RNA", at positions 28 to 507 of the family's 1533-position model. The record is from RNAcentral.
GACGAACGCUGGCGGCGUGCCUAAUACAUGCAAGUUGAGCGCUGAAGGUUGGUACUUGUACCAACUGGAUGAGCAGCGAACGGGUGAGUAACGCGUGGGGAAUCUGCCUUUGAGCGGGGGACAACAUUUGGAAACGAAUGCUAAUACUGCAUAAAAACUUUAAACACAAGUUUUAAGUUUGAAAGAUGCAAUUGCAUCACUCAAAGAUGAUCCCGCGUUGUAUUAGCUAGUUGGUGAGGUAAAGGCUCACCAAGGCGAUGAUACAUAGCCGACCUGAGAGGGUGAUCGGCCACAUUGGGACUGAGACACGGCCCAAACUCCUACGGGAGGCAGCAGUAGGAAAUCUUCGGCAAUGGACGAAAGUCUGACCGAGCAACGCCGCGUGAGUGAAGAAGGUUUUCGGAUCGUAAAACUCUGUUGGUAGAGAAGAACGUUGGUGAGAGUGGAAAGCUCAUCAAGUGACGGUAACUACCCAGAAAGGGACGGCUAACUACGUG